CACGUAGGGGGCAAGCGUUGUCCAGAUUUAUUGGGCGUAAAGAGCUCGUAGGCGGUUCGGUAAGUCGGGUGUGAAACCUCCAGGCUCAACCUGGAGACGCCACCUGAUACUGCUGUGACUCGAGUCCGGUAGGGGAGCGUGGAAUUCCUGGUGUAGCGGUGAAAUGCGCAGAUAUCAGGAGGAACACCAGCGGCGAAGGCGGCGCUCUGGGCCGGAACUGACGCUGAGGAGCGAAAGCGUGGGUAGCAAACAGG
Molecule: ribosomal RNA, 254 nt
Filed under: uncultured bacterium
Lineage: Bacteria
Description: partial 16S ribosomal RNA
Rfam family: Bacterial small subunit ribosomal RNA
Source: RNAcentral